AGUGAACGCUGGCGGUAGGCCUAACACAUGCAAGUCGAACGGCAGCACAGUAAGAGCUUGCUCUUACGGGUGGCGAGUGGCGGACGGGUGAGGAAUACAUCGGAAUCUACUUUUUCGUGGGGGAUAACGUAGGGAAACUUACGCUAAUACCGCAUACGACCUACGGGUGAAAGCAGGUGAUCUUCGGACCUUGCGCGAUUGAAUGAGCCGAUGUCGGAUUAGCUAGUUGGCGGGGUAAGGGCCCACCAAGGCGACGAUCCGUAGCUGGUCUGAGAGGAUGAUCGGCCACACUGGAACUGAGACACGGUCCAGACUCCUACGGGAGGGAGCAGUGGGGAAUAUUGGACAAAGGGCGCAAGCCUGAUCCAGCCAUACCGCGUGGGUGAAGAAGGCCUUCGGGUUGUAAAGCCCUUUUGUUGGGAAAGAAAAGCAGCAGGUUAAUACCCCGCUGUUCUGACGGUACCCAAAGAAUAAGCACCGGCUAACUUCGUG
This 492-nucleotide ribosomal RNA is filed under the name uncultured bacterium. RNAcentral's name for it is "partial 16S ribosomal RNA". It matches the Rfam family "Bacterial small subunit ribosomal RNA", at positions 29 to 507 of the family's 1533-position model. The record is from RNAcentral.